UUACCAAAAUCUCUCGCCUA
Molecule: non-coding RNA, 20 nt
Filed under: Arabidopsis thaliana (thale cress)
Lineage: Eukaryota; Viridiplantae; Streptophyta; Magnoliopsida; Brassicales; Brassicaceae
Source: RNAcentral